AUACGGCUCAUCUGUGACGUUACCUACAGAAGAAGGACCGGCUAACUCCGUGCCAGCAGCCGCGGUAAUACGGAGGGUCCGAGCGUUAAUCGGAAUUACUGGGCGUAAAGCGUGCGCAGGCGGUUUGUUAAGCGAGAUGUGAAAGCCCCGGGCUCAACCUGGGAAUUGCAUUUAAAACUGUCCAGCUAGAGUCUUGUAGAGGGGGGUAGAAUUCCAGGUGUAGCGGUGAAAUGCGUAGAGAUCUGGAGGUAAUACCGGUGGCGAAGGCGGCCCCCUGGACAAAGACUGACGCUCAGGUGCGAAAGCGUGGGGAGCAAACAGGAUUAGAUACCCUGGUAGUCCACGCCGUAAACGAUGUCGAUUUGGAGGCUGUGUCCUUGAGACGUGGCUUCCGGAGCUAACGCGUUAAAUCGACCGCCUGGGGAGUACGGCCGCAAGGUU
Molecule: ribosomal RNA, 441 nt
Filed under: uncultured Aeromonas sp.
Lineage: Bacteria; Pseudomonadati; Pseudomonadota; Gammaproteobacteria; Aeromonadales; Aeromonadaceae
Description: bacterial SSU rRNA
Rfam family: Bacterial small subunit ribosomal RNA
Source: RNAcentral